GUGUGUGUGUGUGGUGUGUGUGUGUGUGUGUGUGUGUGUGUGUGUGUGUUCUUUCUUUUGCAGUCCUUCUACACAACGCCAUUCCUUUUGUAGGAUUUGGUUUCCUGGACAACGCCAUCAUGAUUGUAGCUGGCACGCAGAUUGAGUUGUCCAUAGGUGUGAUCCUUGGGAUUUCAACCAUGGCAGAUCCUCUCAAGCUCUGUCAGGUUGGAUGAGGAGCGUCACUGCACAACUAUUUCCAGGUCUCUCCAGAGAUGUUUGAUCGGGUUCAAGUCUGAGCUGUGGCUGGGCCACUCAAGGACAUUCAGAAACUUGUCCUGAAGCCACUCCUGCGUUGUCUUGGCUGUGUGCUUAGGGUCUUUGUCCUGUUGGAAGCUAUAAUCCUUCGCCCCAGUCUGUGGUUCCUCGAUCCUGACUAGUCUCCCAGUCCCUGCCGCUGAAAAACAUCCCCACAGCAUGAUGCUGUCACCACCAUGCUUCACCAUAGGGAUGGUGCCAGGUUUCCUCCAGAUGUGAUGCUUGGCAUUCAGGCCAAAGAGUUCAAUCUUGGUUUCAUCAGACCAGAGAAUCUUGUUUCUCAUGGUUUGAGAGUCUUUUGACAAACUCCAAGCAGGCUGUCGUGCAUUUUUUUGAGGAGUGGCUUCCGUCUGGCCACUCUACCAUAAAGUCUUUAUUAGUGAAGUGCUGCAGAGAUGGUUGUCCUUCUGGAAGGUUCUCCCAUCUCCACAGAGGAACACUGGAGCUCUGUCAGUGACCAUCAGGGUUGCUCAGUUUGGCCCGGGCGGCCAGCUCUAGAAAGAGUCUUGGUGGUUCCAAACUUCUUCCAUUUAAGAAUGAUGGAGGCCGCUGUGUUCUUGGUACCUUCAAUGCUGCAGAAAUGUUUUGGUACCUUUCCCCAGAUCUGUGCCUCAAAACAAUUCUGUCUCGGAGCUCUACGGACAAUUCCUUCGACCUCAUGGCUUGGUUUUUGCUCUGAAAUGCACCGUCAACUGUGGGACCUUAUAUAGACAGGUGUUUACCUUUCCAAAUCAUGUCCAAUCAAUUGAAUUUACCACAUGUGGACUCCAAACAAGUUGUAGAAACAUCUCAAGGAUGAACAAUGGAAACAGGAUUUACCUGAGCUCAAAUUCAAGUCUCAUAGCAAAGG
Oncorhynchus tshawytscha (Chinook salmon) is the source of this 1147-nucleotide long non-coding RNA. The record is from Ensembl. Lineage: Eukaryota; Metazoa; Chordata; Actinopteri; Salmoniformes; Salmonidae.